UUAGGGGAUUUACGGGAUGUGGCCGAAGAAGACCGUGCAAGGGAGAAAGUUACCUACACAGCAAGUGAGCUCCCUCGUCGUUUCCGAUCAAAAUGUUGACACUUCCGGUCCGACAGGCAAGGAAAGUCGUCGGAGGCACGAAGUCGGUCGGCACAAAGGAGUCGGAGAAGGUAGAGUACUCUCUCUCUCUCUCUCUCUCUCUCUCUCUCUCUCUCUCGGUCAGAGAAGGUCGGACGUCGGGUUUUGAUCGGAGAAGGAGGAGGUGUCGGUCUACUGGAGUGGAGUCGGAUUUGGAAGAUUAGAUCGACGGGAGCUGGCCGGCUUAACGAUCUGGGGUUUCGGAUGGGAGAGGCGGAGAAGGAAGGAGAAGUAGCGAUCGUGUGGGGCUUCCGAAUGGAGCAGGCAGAGAGCGAGUGUGGAGUCGAGCGUGGAGAGGUAUCGGGAGAGGCUUGCGAUGCUUUAGCUCUAUUCGCUCGGUAUUUAAAGACCUGAAUGGGAGUGGGAUCGAGGGAUCGACGUAGGAUUUUUGCAAAAAUCCCGGAACGGCGCCGGUUGUACAGUGGUAUCGCCGGAUUUUGGCAGAAUUUGCGGGAUCUAGCAGAGGUAAUUUGCAGAUGGUGUGCGGGUAGACCAUCAAAAGGUUAAAUCCAUUUCAGAAUGGCCGACGCCUCAAUCAUUUUUUGAUGUGCGAAGUUUCCAUGUAUUGGCAAAUUUCUAUCGAUGCUUUAUAUAAGGUUUCAAUAUACUAGUUUCCCCACUCACUGAUUUUUGAAUUCCAAAUAAUUCUCUUGGUUAGAUGCUCAACAAUCGAGCGUUGAAGCUGUUAAGGCUGCCCUCUCUUCUGCUUCGGUUCUUGCGCUUCCAGAUUUCGAAAAGCCUUUAUUAUUGAAAAGAUGCUUUGGCCACAGGUAUUGGCGCCAACUUGAUGAAGGAAAACAAGCCAAUUGAAUAUUUUAGUGAAAAACUUUAUCCUGCUCGCCAAAAAUGGAGUGUCAUGAACAAGAGAUUUACUUCAUUGUGCAUGCUCUCAAAGAAUGGGAACACUAUCUUCUGCAUCAAGAUUUUAUAUUGCACAACGACCACACGGCUUUAUAGUAUAUUAACAAUCAGAAAAUGCUGAAUCGCAUGCAUGCUUGAUGGAUUUUAUUUUUACAAAGUUUCACUUUUGUCCUCAAAAACAAUUCUGGUUCGGAAAAUAGAGUUGUCGAUGCUUUGAGCAGAAAAUGAACUCUAUUGUCUCAGUUGAAUACCGAAUUGACAGGGCUCCAAUGCCUUCAGGAGUUAUAUGAAACUGACAACGAUUUCAACCAAAUUUUGGAUGGGUGCUUGAAGCAGACAAUUAUGGGGCAAUACUUCAUAAGACAUGGUUAUUUAUUCAAACAGCAUGCUAUGUGCAUACCGGAUUCGUCCUGGCGACACCAAAUUAUUCAAGAAAUCCAUUUUGGAGGCCUUGUAGCUCACGUCGGACGUGGGAAGACCAUCGAGCAAUUGCAAUCUCGUUUCUUUUUGCCACAUUUGCGUCGCGACAUCACCCAAUUUUUCGAGUGCUGUCAGUAUGCUAAGUCUAUAAAGGUGGUAAACAUAACACCAGAUUGUACAUGUCAUUAUCGGUUUCAAACACAAUAUGGGAAUAUCUUAGUCUUGAUUUUUUUCUUUAGACUUCCUAGAACAAAGCGAGGUAAUGACUCUAUUAUGGUUGUAGUAGACAGAUUCUUGAAGAUGGCACAUUUCAUUGCUUGCAAAAAAUCUUUGAUGCUCUUAAUAUUUCCCGCUUGUUCUUUAAUGUAAUAGUCUGCCUACAUGGCAUUCCGCGCAGUUUGACUUCGGACAAGGAUGUUAAAUUUAUUAGUCAUUUUUGACAUGAACUCUGGAAAAGACUUAAAACUUAUGUCAAUCUAAGUUCAGCUAAUCACCCUCAAUUGGAUGGACAAAUCGAGGUGGUAAACUGUACUCUGGGAAAUAUGCUAAGGUGCUUAGUACGUACAAGAGCAACCUAAACGAUGGGUUGAGUUGUUGAACCAAGCUGAGUUCGCAUAUAAUAACAUGUCGAAUCGUUCAACCUGUACUUCUCCAUUUCAUAUUAUUUAUACUAAGGUGCCUAAUCAUACGGUCGAAGUCGCUAUUUUACCAAAAUGUAGCAAUCGAAAUGCAGCACAAUUGGUUGACCAAUUUUCUCAGAUGCUCCAUGACAUCCGCAUCAAACUUCUCAAUUCUAAUGAGAAUUAUAAAAUGGCAGCUGACUCCCAUUGGUGGGAGAAAAUUUUUAAACCCGGUGGGCUAGUCAUGGUACGCCUUCACCGUGAAAGGUUACCUUCUGGUGUAUAUUCUAAAUUGGGUCGUCGCAAAGUUGACAUUUUCCCAUCUUGAAAAAAUCAACGACAACGCCUACAUUAUAGAUCUACCAUAUAAAUUUAGCACAGCUUCUACUUUCAACGUAGCAGAUCUUCACCCAUAUUAUCCAACAGAUGAAGCACGAACAAACAUUUCUACUGAGAUAGCAGAAUCUUCUUCGGCGGGGGAGUCCUGAUGCGGAACAUCUUUGGCCAAGGGAGUAUCUUACCAUUUCUAUUAUGCUUUUAGCCAUAUUAUUGCUUCACUAGUUGUCUUUCCACUACUUCAUUUCCUGUUUUAAUUAUCUACUAGUAGGUUUGGCUUUUACUAGCAAUACUAAUAGUCUCCUAGAUAUUAUAAAACUGAUAUAUACUUGUAUUACGUGAAGGAGCACAUAUAGAGAAGAAAUAUACCUCAGUUAUCUGCUAUUUGUGUUGUUUUAGUUUCAAUUCCAAUCGUUUGCUGGCUGGACGUCUCCUCUCCGAUUACCUACAUCAUUAGGGAGAAGCAUUAAAAAAAAAAGACAAACUAAAGGUCCAAGAUUACCAAGAAAGUGUAUGUUGAUAUAGAAUGGAGAGGAGCACUAUUUAUAAGAAAGAGCGUGGAAGAUCUGAAACAUUGAACUCCCAAGUGAUAUCAUUUCACUUAAAAUGUCAUCACAAUCAUUGAUGUGACUACCAAAUACUAAGCUAAUUUUAUAAUUUCCUAUUCAUUCAGAAACCCAACUGACACAUCACCAGCUUUAACUUAAUCAAACGUUGAUGUCAUGAUAAAAAUUUUUACUUCAUAUGGUCAGAUGAAUUCACACUGAAUUGAAUAACGAAUAUGAUUUCAGGAUAAAAGUGCUACUUCCAACUUCAUAACAAAGGUCUUCAAGGUAGAGAACUGAUUUCAAAUAAUGACAAGAUAAAGAAAUAGCUUCACAAAAAAAAGAAGAUUUAUUACAGAAAAAUAGAAAUAAUUAAGAUCUAAACUCAAUAUUGUAAGCUCAUCCAAUUUCUUAAGAAAUGAGCUUUCAUUUCAUUUAAAGUAUAUUACAUUAAGCAAAUAAAAGUAGAACCCUUAUAUCCAUAACUUUUUCCUACAAUUCUAUUUUUUAUGAGAUAUAUCAAAGCAAAAAAGAAAAAAAAAAUAGAAAAUCAUUUCCUGAAAAAAUAAAUUGUUGGAGCUGUAGGUUUUAACUCUUCAUACAAUAACAUUGAAAGCUCUUUUAUGAGAUCGUGCAUGCAACUUGCUGGUUGAGUGAAGCUUUUCCUCUCACACAGCUCAUUUUUGAAUCCCCUAAUUGUCCCAAAAAAACAAAAAAUAUAGAAAGCUAAUCCUAGUAUGCAACAAAAAGCACACUUCAAGAGUGACUCGCUAAGGAAAUUGUUACUCUAAAUUAUUAAUUUGAUGUAUGAUAAACUUAAAAAAUCCUCGAGAACUUUCUCAUUGGGAUGAGUU
Molecule: RNA transcript, 3774 nt
Organism: Dendrobium catenatum
Lineage: Eukaryota; Viridiplantae; Streptophyta; Magnoliopsida; Asparagales; Orchidaceae
Exons: 2
Source: RefSeq, a predicted model, not a curated record